RNAcentral lists this long non-coding RNA (896 nucleotides) under Brassica napus (rape). RNAcentral describes it as "long non-coding RNA (BNAP_LNC015339)". The record is from RNAcentral. Lineage: Eukaryota; Viridiplantae; Streptophyta; Magnoliopsida; Brassicales; Brassicaceae.
UUUGGCCAAUCAGAUCCAUGUAAAAGGAUCACUUCUCAGCUGUUGGAUUAUAUUAAAUCAAGGGCUGAGAUUUAUUUUAUUUUUUAUUUUUUUUUUCUUCUCUGGCUUCUCUCUCGACAGAUUCAUUCUCUUUUUUUUUUUUUUUUUUUCUGUUUCUUCUUUCAUCUUCUUCACUCUCAUCUCUCCCAUCUUCUUUCUCUCCCAUCUCUCUACGCUUGAAAGCUCACCAACUCUCUCAUGUCUCACUUUUCAGAUCUGGUUAACUGAGAAAGGAUGAAGAUGAUAAUGGAGACGACGAAGAAGGAGACUCGCUGGGACGAAGCGCCGAGGCUCACCGGAGAAGAAGAUGCGCCGAAGUCUCUCUCUAUCUCCCUUCUCUAUCUAUCUAUCUCUCUCUCUCUCUCGAUCUAAUUAUGAUUUCGUUUUUUGUUUUUUCUUGUAAACAGAGGUAGAUGAGGCAGAAGAAAAUGAUGUUUGGUGGUGGUGCAUAGGUCGUAGAAGAAGAAAAAAUCGAUGGAACUGAGGAGUAAGAUGACAAUUUCGACAGUCACUCCAGGUGAAGAAGAACCGGACAGUCGCCGUGAAGGAGGCUGAAGUUGACGGCAAAGAGGCUGAAGUUGACUGAGGAUUAGGUUUAGGCUUUUGGUUUAGUUCUGGUUUAGUUUAGGUUUAUUGGUUUACUUUACAAUAGAUUUGGUUUCUUUUUAUUUUUUUUUAAUUUUGGUUAGUUUGUAAACCGAACUUAAUUUAUAAAAUAAGAAAUUAUUUUAUUUUAAUUAUAAAUAAAUUUUUAUUUAAUAAAUUUUGUUUUUGAUUUAUAAUAUUCACCCUAUAACAGCAAACUACAAUAAAAGCUAUCUUAUUGCGUAGAGACGAUAGCCUUUAUAAAACUGCUA